AGUGUACAGCGGCGGCUGGGGCGGCAGGUGAGGCGGCUGGGGCGUUGCUGUCGUGCGUCCGCAGGCGUCAGGUGCUCAGACCCGAGGGCCGGGAAGGGAUUUGGGUUUCACAGGAACCUGGGGCGGGGGUCCGCUAUCUUGGGGCUGUCGGGACCGCUGCUUAAAUUUGGCCCAGUCCAGACCUCGAGUCGGGCCCCCAGCCAGGCCCACGCCCAGGUCCAGGCCCAGGCCGGUAGGGAUCCUCUAGGGUCCCAGCUCGCCUCGAUGGAGCUCCUCCCGCCGCUGCCUCAGUCCUUCCUGUUGCUGCUGCUGUUGCCUGCCAAGCCCGCGGCGGGCGAGGACUGGCAGUGCCCGCGCACCCCCUACGCGGCCUCUCGCGACUUUGACGUGAAGUACGUGGUGCCCAGCUUCUCCGCCGGAGGCCUGGUACAGGCCAUGGUGACCUACGAGGGCGACAGAAAUGAGAGUGCUGUGUUUGUAGCCAUACGCAAUCGCCUGCAUGUGCUUGGGCCUGACCUGAAGUCUGUCCAGAGCCUGGCCACGGGCCCUGCUGGAGACCCUGGCUGCCAGACGUGUGCAGCCUGUGGCCCAGGACCCCACGGCCCUCCCGGUGACACAGACACAAAGGUGCUGGUGCUGGAUCCCGCGCUGCCUGCGCUGGUCAGUUGUGGCUCCAGCCUGCAGGGCCGCUGCUUCCUGCAUGACCUAGAGCCCCAAGGGACAGCCGUGCAUCUGGCAGCGCCAGCCUGCCUCUUCUCAGCCCACCAUAACCGGCCCGAUGACUGCCCCGACUGUGUGGCCAGCCCAUUGGGCACCCGUGUAACUGUGGUUGAGCAAGGCCAGGCCUCCUAUUUCUACGUGGCAUCCUCACUGGACGCAGCCGUGGCUGCCAGCUUCAGCCCACGCUCAGUGUCUAUCAGGCGUCUCAAGGCUGACGCCUCGGGAUUCGCACCGGGCUUUGUGGCGUUGUCAGUGCUGCCCAAGCAUCUUGUCUCCUACAGUAUUGAAUACGUGCACAGCUUCCACACGGGAGCCUUCGUAUACUUCCUGACUGUACAGCCGGCCAGCGUGACAGAUGAUCCUAGUGCCCUGCACACACGCCUGGCACGGCUUAGCGCCACUGAGCCAGAGUUGGGUGACUAUCGGGAGCUGGUCCUCGACUGCAGAUUUGCUCCAAAACGCAGGCGCCGGGGGGCCCCAGAAGGCGGACAGCCCUACCCUGUGCUGCGGGUGGCCCACUCCGCUCCAGUGGGUGCCCAACUUGCCACUGAGCUGAGCAUCGCCGAGGGCCAGGAAGUACUAUUUGGGGUCUUUGUGACUGGCAAGGAUGGUGGUCCUGGCGUGGGCCCCAACUCUGUCGUCUGUGCCUUCCCCAUUGACCUGCUGGACACACUAAUUGAUGAGGGUGUGGAGCGCUGUUGUGAAUCCCCAGUCCAUCCAGGCCUCCGGCGAGGCCUCGACUUCUUCCAGUCGCCCAGUUUUUGCCCCAACCCGCCUGGCCUGGAAGCCCUCAGCCCCAACACCAGCUGCCGCCACUUCCCUCUGCUGGUCAGUAGCAGCUUCUCACGUGUGGACCUAUUCAAUGGGCUGUUGGGACCAGUACAGGUCACUGCAUUGUAUGUGACACGCCUUGACAACGUCACAGUGGCACACAUGGGCACAAUGGAUGGGCGUAUCCUGCAGGUGGAGCUGGUCAGGUCACUAAACUACUUGCUGUAUGUGUCCAACUUCUCACUGGGUGACAGUGGGCAGCCCGUGCAGCGGGAUGUCAGUCGUCUUGGGGACCACCUACUCUUUGCCUCUGGGGACCAGGUUUUCCAGGUACCUAUCCAAGGCCCUGGCUGCCGCCACUUCCUGACCUGUGGGCGUUGCCUAAGGGCAUGGCAUUUCAUGGGCUGUGGCUGGUGUGGGAACAUGUGCGGCCAGCAGAAGGAGUGUCCUGGCUCCUGGCAACAGGACCACUGCCCACCUAAGCUUACUGAGUUCCACCCCCACAGUGGACCUCUAAGGGGCAGUACAAGGCUGACCCUGUGUGGCUCCAACUUCUACCUUCACCCUUCUGGUCUGGUGCCUGAGGGAACCCAUCAGGUCACUGUGGGCCAAAGUCCCUGCCGGCCACUGCCCAAGGACAGCUCAAAACUCAGACCAGUGCCCCGGAAAGACUUUGUAGAGGAGUUUGAGUGUGAACUGGAGCCCUUGGGCACCCAGGCAGUGGGGCCUACCAACGUCAGCCUCACCGUGACUAACAUGCCACCGGGCAAGCACUUCCGGGUAGACGGCACCUCCGUGCUGAGAGGCUUCUCUUUCAUGGAGCCAGUGCUGAUAGCAGUGCAACCCCUCUUUGGCCCACGGGCAGGAGGCACCUGUCUCACUCUUGAAGGCCAGAGUCUGUCUGUAGGCACCAGCCGGGCUGUGCUGGUCAAUGGGACUGAGUGUCUGCUAGCACGGGUCAGUGAGGGGCAGCUUUUAUGUGCCACACCCCCUGGGGCCACGGUGGCCAGUGUCCCCCUUAGCCUGCAGGUGGGGGGUGCCCAGGUACCUGGUUCCUGGACCUUCCAGUACAGAGAAGACCCUGUCGUGCUAAGCAUCAGCCCCAACUGUGGCUACAUCAACUCCCACAUCACCAUCUGUGGCCAGCAUCUAACUUCAGCAUGGCACUUAGUGCUGUCAUUCCAUGACGGGCUUAGGGCAGUGGAAAGCAGGCAGUGUGAGAGGCAGCUUCCAGAGCAGCAGCUGUGCCGCCUUCCUGAAUAUGUGGUCCGAGACCCCCAGGGAUGGGUGGCAGGGAAUCUGAGUGCCCGAGGGGAUGGAGCUGCUGGCUUUACACUGCCUGGCUUUCGCUUCCUACCCCCACCCCAUCCACCCAGUGCCAACCUAGUUCCACUGAAGCCUGAGGAGCAUGCCAUUAAGUUUGAGUAUAUUGGGCUGGGCGCUGUGGCUGACUGUGUGGGUAUCAACGUGACCGUGGGUGGUGAGAGCUGCCAGCACGAGUUCCGGGGGGACAUGGUUGUCUGCCCCCUGCCCCCAUCCCUGCAGCUUGGCCAGGAUGGUGCCCCAUUGCAGGUCUGCGUAGAUGGUGAAUGUCAUAUCCUGGGUAGAGUGGUGCGGCCAGGGCCAGAUGGGGUCCCACAGAGCACGCUCCUUGGUAUCCUGCUGCCUUUGCUGCUGCUUGUGGCUGCACUGGCGACUGCACUGGUCUUCAGCUACUGGUGGCGGAGGAAGCAGCUAGUUCUUCCUCCCAACCUGAAUGACCUGGCAUCCCUGGACCAGACUGCUGGAGCCACACCCCUGCCUAUUCUGUACUCGGGCUCUGACUACAGAAGUGGCCUUGCACUCCCUGCCAUUGAUGGUCUGGAUUCCACCACUUGUGUCCAUGGAGCAUCCUUCUCCGAUAGUGAAGAUGAAUCCUGUGUGCCACUGCUGCGGAAAGAGUCCAUCCAGCUAAGGGACCUGGACUCUGCGCUCUUGGCUGAGGUCAAGGAUGUGCUGAUUCCCCAUGAGCGGGUGGUCACCCACAGUGACCGAGUCAUUGGCAAAGGCCACUUUGGAGUUGUCUACCACGGAGAAUACAUAGACCAGGCCCAGAAUCGAAUCCAAUGUGCCAUCAAGUCACUAAGUCGCAUCACAGAGAUGCAGCAGGUGGAGGCCUUCCUGCGAGAGGGGCUGCUCAUGCGUGGCCUGAACCACCCGAAUGUGCUGGCUCUCAUUGGUAUCAUGUUGCCACCUGAGGGCCUGCCCCAUGUGCUGCUGCCCUAUAUGUGCCACGGUGACCUGCUCCAGUUCAUCCGCUCACCUCAGCGGAACCCCACCGUGAAGGACCUCAUCAGCUUUGGCCUGCAGGUAGCCCGCGGCAUGGAGUACCUGGCAGAGCAGAAGUUUGUGCACAGGGACCUGGCUGCGCGGAACUGCAUGCUGGACGAGUCAUUCACAGUCAAGGUGGCUGACUUUGGUUUGGCCCGCGACAUCCUGGACAGGGAGUACUAUAGUGUUCAACAGCAUCGCCACGCUCGCCUACCUGUGAAGUGGAUGGCGCUGGAGAGCCUGCAGACCUAUAGAUUUACCACCAAGUCUGAUGUGUGGUCAUUUGGUGUGCUGCUGUGGGAACUGCUGACACGGGGUGCCCCACCAUACCGCCACAUUGACCCUUUUGACCUUACCCACUUCCUGGCCCAGGGUCGGCGCCUGCCCCAGCCUGAGUAUUGCCCUGAUUCUCUGAAAGGGACUCUCGCUGGGCCUCAAUUUCCUCAUCUGUGAACUGGUCCCACCCUCAUGCAGAGUAGGACCCUGGGAGGACCUCACAGUUGCCAUGGUACCAAGUGAUGCAGCAAUGCUGGGAGGCAGACCCAGCAGUGCGACCCACCUUCAGAGUACUAGUGGGGGAGGUGGAGCAGAUAGUGUCUGCACUGCUUGGGGACCAUUAUGUGCAGCUGCCAGCAACCUACAUGAACUUGGGCCCCAGCACCUCGCAUGAGAUGAAUGUGCGUCCAGAACAGCCGCAGUUCUCACCCAUGCCAGGGAAUGUACGCCGGCCCCGGCCACUCUCAGAGCCUCCUCGGCCCACUUGACUUAGUUCUUGGGCUGGACCUGCUUAGCUGCCUUGAGCUAACCCCAAGCUGCCUCUGGGCCAUGCCAGGCCAGAGGGCAGUGGCCCUCCACCUUGUUCCUGCCCUUUAACUUUCAGAGGCAAUAGGUAAAUGGGGCCCAUUAGGUCCCUCACUCCACAGAGUGAGCCAGUGAGGGCAGUCCUGCAACAUGUAUUUAUGGAGUGCCUGCUGUGGACCCUGUCUUCUGGGCACAGUGGACUCAGCAGUGACCACACCAACACUGACCCUUGAACCAAUAAAGGAACAAAUGACUAUUAAAGCACAAA
Homo sapiens (human) is the source of this 4870-nucleotide RNA transcript. It is a transcript of the gene named macrophage stimulating 1 receptor, with no coding region annotated. The transcript is spliced from 21 exons. The record is from RefSeq and is marked reviewed. NCBI's taxonomy places the organism in Eukaryota, Metazoa, Chordata, Mammalia, Primates, Hominidae.